Long non-coding RNA from Homo sapiens (human), 495 nucleotides. Ensembl annotates it as neuropeptide Y receptor Y6 (pseudogene). Its record names the gene NPY6R. The record is from Ensembl. Lineage: Eukaryota; Metazoa; Chordata; Mammalia; Primates; Hominidae.
AAUCCUCUGUGCAAUGAUUCCAACUCCAGGGAUCAGUGUCUGAAGUGAAGCUACAGAUUGUCUGGUGGAUAAAUAAUCCAAGAAGGAACGGGGGAUGUUAUGACUUUUUGAGAGAAGGCUAACAUGUCAUCCUUGACAGAUAAACUUUAAAAAAUUAUAAUAAUGGAAAUGAAGAAAGAAAACAACAGAAGAUGAGAAUAGCAAAAGAGCUAGACAUUUCCGACAGGAGAAAUGCAAAGGUAGAUAAGAAGAAGGAAAAUGAGGGCCGGCUCAAUGAGAACAAGAGGAUCAACACAAUGUUGAUUUCCAUCGUGGUGACCUUUGGAGCCUGCUGGCUGCCCCGAAUAUCUUCAAUGUCAUCUUUGACUGGUAUCAUGAGGUGCUGAUGAGCUGCCACCACGACCUGGUAUUUGUAGUUUGCCACUUGGUUGCUAUGGUUUCCACAUGUAUAAACCCUCUCUUUUAUGGCUUUCUCAACAAAAAUUUCCAAAAGGA